GGUUUGCUGGUCUAGUGGUAUGAUUCUCGCUUCGGGUGCGGGAGGUCACGGGUUCGAUUCCCGUGCAAGCCC
RNAcentral lists this transfer RNA (72 nucleotides) under Dendronephthya gigantea. RNAcentral describes it as "tRNA-Pro". It matches the Rfam family "tRNA". Rfam says of the family: Transfer RNA (tRNA) molecules are approximately 80 nucleotides in length. Their secondary structure includes four short double-helical elements and three loops (D, anti-codon, and T loops). The record is from RNAcentral. Lineage: Eukaryota; Metazoa; Cnidaria; Anthozoa; Malacalcyonacea; Nephtheidae.